AGGCGACGACGGGUAGCCGGCCUGAGAGGGCGACCGGCCACACUGGGACUGAGACACGGCCCAGACUCCUACGGGAGGCAGCAGUGGGGAAUAUUGCACAAUGGGCGAAAGCCUGAUGCAGCGACGCCGCGUGAGGGAUGACGGCCUUCGGGUUGUAAACCUCUUUCAGCAGGGAAGAAGCGCAAGUGACGGUACCUGCAGAAGAAGCGCCGGCUAACUACGUGCCAGCAGCCGCGGUAAUACGUAGGGCGCAAGCGUUGUCCGGAAUUAUUGGGCGUAAAGAGCUCGUAGGCGGCUUGUCACGUCGGAUGUGAAAGCCCGGGGCUUAACCCCGGGUCUGCAUUCGAUACGGGCUAGCUAGAGUGUGGUAGGGGAGAUCGGAAUUCCUGGUGUAGCGGUGAAAUGCGCAGAUAUCAGGAGGAACACCGGUGGCGAAGGCGGAUCUCUGGGCCAUUACUGACGCUGAGGAGCGAAAGCGUGGGGAGCGAACAGGAUUAGAUACCCUGGUAGU
RNAcentral lists this ribosomal RNA (511 nucleotides) under Streptomycetaceae bacterium. Its description in RNAcentral is "bacterial SSU rRNA". It matches the Rfam family "Bacterial small subunit ribosomal RNA", at positions 271 to 794 of the family's 1533-position model. The record is from RNAcentral. Lineage: Bacteria; Bacillati; Actinomycetota; Actinomycetes; Kitasatosporales; Streptomycetaceae.